This is a long non-coding RNA of Spinacia oleracea (spinach), 279 nucleotides long. RefSeq lists it as uncharacterized. Lineage: Eukaryota; Viridiplantae; Streptophyta; Magnoliopsida; Caryophyllales; Amaranthaceae. The transcript is spliced from 3 exons. The record is from RefSeq and is a predicted model, not a curated record.
UUAUUGGACUACUUUUGAAAAUGACAAACGGAAGAUUAAGUCACAAAAGUUACGAUUCAUACAGAUGAAGUGUGCUCAACAAGUUGAUGCAGUGGAUAGUGGUUAUUAUGUGAUGAAAUACAUGCAUGAUGUUGUCACAGUAUACAAUGAAUACAAGGAUAAUUUGUCUGAGGGUUAUGUACAAAGAGAAAUGCCAUAUUCUGAUGAGGAGUUAGAAGAAACUCGAAAACAAUGGGAAAAGUAUUUUAAGGACAACUAUUUGAUGGAUGCCGGCAAAUG